CGUUACACAAACAAGUAAAAUAAUUUCAACAUUUGCCCAUUUAUUUCAAAACUGUAACAAGAAGAAAAUCAUAUACAAAGAAAAAAAAGCAGCGAUGAUGUUCUUACAACAUAACAAGAAGCAUCAAUGCUUGAGUGUCAUCAUCUUGGCAGAAUAGCGUAAGCAAUAGUGGUGGAAAGCAGUCUUUCAUGGGUGACGAUCCUUCUUUCUACCAACUCAUUCUUCGAGGCGCAGCUCCUAUCGUUGCCAUGGACAGAAAACUACCCAACACUCAUUUAUCAUUUCCGAAACAUUCAUCAUCUCCUUGUGUCUUUUCGUAGUGGAAAUUGGAUCAUGUGGGUGAAGGAAGGACUGAGGUGGCUCAACUCAUCGCUACUAGUGUUACUAAGGAACAUCGAUUCCAAUCGUACGUAGCAACAUGAGGUCCAAGAUGGCUACAAUAGAUUAUCCUCAAGAGUUGAUCUCGAUCGAUCUUGUGACUUGAUUCGGCCACGAAGAUUUCUCAGGGACUUGUUGUACAUCAUCUCUGACCCGUAUAUCAUCUCUUACUAUCGUCUCUACUUACAGAGAGCUUUU
RNAcentral lists this long non-coding RNA (576 nucleotides) under Brassica napus (rape). RNAcentral's name for it is "long non-coding RNA (BNAP_LNC024256)". Lineage: Eukaryota; Viridiplantae; Streptophyta; Magnoliopsida; Brassicales; Brassicaceae. The record is from RNAcentral.